This 369-nucleotide ribosomal RNA is filed under the name uncultured organism. Its description in RNAcentral is "bacterial SSU rRNA". It matches the Rfam family "Bacterial small subunit ribosomal RNA", at positions 526 to 896 of the family's 1533-position model. The record is from RNAcentral.
CGGAGGGUGCAAGCGUUAUCCGGAUUCACUGGGUUUAAAGGGUGCGUAGGCGGGCAGGUAAGUCAGUGGUGAAAUCCUAGAGCUUAACUCUAGAACUGCCAUUGAUACUAUCUGUCUUGAAUAUUGUGGAGGUAAGCGGAAUAUGUCAUGUAGCGGUGAAAUGCUUAGAUAUGACAUAGAACACCUAUUGCGAAGGCAGCUUACUACGCAUAUAUUGACGCUGAGGACACGAAAGCGUGGGGAUCAAACAGGAUUAGAUACCCUGGUAGUCCACGCCCUAAACGAUGAUUACUCGACAUUAGCGAUACACAGUUAGUGUCUGAGCGAAAGCAUUAAGUAAUCCACCUGGGAAGUACGACCGCAAGGUUG